AUUGAACGCUGGCGGCAGGCCUAACACAUGCAAGUCGAGCGAGUGGCGGACGGGUGAGUAAUGUCUGGGGAACUGCCCGAUAGAGGGGGGUAACUACUGGAAACGGUAGCUAAUACCCCAUACUAUCGGAUGUGCCCAUAUGGGAUUAGCUUGUGGGUGAGGUAAGGGCUCACCAAGGCGACGAUCCCUAGCUGGUCUGAGAGGAUGACCAGCCACACGGGAACUGAGACACGGCCCAGACUCCUACGGGAGGCAGCAGUGGGGAAUAUUGCACAAUGGGCGCAAGCCUGAUGCAGCCAUGCCGCGUGUAGGAAGAAGGCCUUAGGGUUGUAAAGUACUUUCAGUCGGGAGGCGUUACCUGCAGAAGAAGCACCGGCUAACUCCGUGCCAGCAGCCGCGGUAAUUC
Molecule: ribosomal RNA, 406 nt
Filed under: uncultured bacterium
Lineage: Bacteria
Description: partial 16S ribosomal RNA
Rfam family: Bacterial small subunit ribosomal RNA
Source: RNAcentral